UGAUAAUUAAAUGGCCGCGGUAUUUUGACCGUGCAAAGGUAGCAUAAUCAUUAGUUUUUUAAUUGAUAACUUGUAUGAAUGGUUUAACGAAACAUUAACUGUCUCUUUUUUAUAUUUUGAAUUUAAAAUUUGAGUUAAAAUGCUUAAAUUUAUUUAUUGGACGAGAAGACCCUAUAGAUCUUUAUUUAUUUAUUUUUAUUUUGUUUAGUUUAUAUUUUUAUAUUGCUAUUUUAAUUUUGUUGGGGUGACAUGAAGAUAUAUAUAACUCUUUAUUUUUUAUUACAUUUAUUUAUGAUUAAUUGACCUUAUUUUAUUGUUAAAAGAUUAGAUACCUUAGGGAUAACAGCGUAAUUUUUUUUGAGAGUUCUUAUUGACAAUAAAGAUUGCGACCUCGAUGUUGGAUUAAGAUAAGUUUUGGGUGCAGUAGCUUGAACUGUUAGGUCUGUUCGACCUUUAAAUUCUUACAUGAUCUGAGUU
This 477-nucleotide ribosomal RNA is filed under the name Periphetes quezonicus. RNAcentral's name for it is "partial 16S ribosomal RNA". It matches the Rfam family "Bacterial large subunit ribosomal RNA", at positions 1917 to 2611 of the family's 2925-position model. Lineage: Eukaryota; Metazoa; Arthropoda; Insecta; Phasmatodea; Lonchodidae. The record is from RNAcentral.